This 119-nucleotide ribosomal RNA is filed under the name Helianthus annuus (common sunflower). Lineage: Eukaryota; Viridiplantae; Streptophyta; Magnoliopsida; Asterales; Asteraceae. The record is from RNAcentral.
GGCUGCGAUCAUACCAACACUAAUGCACCGGAUCCCAUCAGAACUCCGCAGUUAAGCGUGCUUGGGCGAGAGUAGUACUAGGAUGGGUGACCCCCUGGGAAGUCCUCGUGUUGCAACCC